Molecule: long non-coding RNA, 234 nt
Filed under: Zonotrichia albicollis (white-throated sparrow)
Lineage: Eukaryota; Metazoa; Chordata; Aves; Passeriformes; Passerellidae
Description: lncRNA (ENSZALG00000007282.1)
Source: RNAcentral
GAUCACUUAAAUGACACUUGUUGGUUGGUAAUGACUCUUUUUGAUGUUUGCUCACUUGUUCAAGCAAAGGUUUGUUAUGAGAGAGAUCUACUUCUGAAUAAGCUGUGUCUGGUUAGGAAGAAUAAGGUGGAAAGAAAUGCCUUCAUCCCAUUCAAGAUGACACAUGCAGCUCAAAAAAUGGGAACUUUGGGCUGGUUGGAAAUCAAGGCCAUGCUAGACAAGGAGGUCGCCUGA